GUGAUCCUACGGGGCGCAGCAGUGAGGAAUAUUGGUCAAUGGACGGAAGUCUGAACCAGCCAUGCCGCGUGCAGGAAGACGGCUCUAUGAGUUGUAAACUGCUUUUGUACAAGGGUAAACCUGAAUACGUGUAUUCAGCUGAAAGUACUGUACGAAUAAGGAUCGGCUAACUCCGUGCCAGCAGCCGCGGUAAUACGGAGGAUCCAAGCGUUAUCCGGAUUUAUUGGGUGUAAAGGGUGCGUAGACGGGACAGCAAGUUAGUUGUGAAAGCCCUCGGCUUAACUGAGGAACUGCAACUAAAACUA
Molecule: ribosomal RNA, 305 nt
Filed under: uncultured bacterium
Lineage: Bacteria
Description: bacterial SSU rRNA
Rfam family: Bacterial small subunit ribosomal RNA
Source: RNAcentral